UUAAUUGAAACCAAAAAGAGGUAAAUUAUUGUUAAUAAUUCCAUUGAAUUUUUCAUAUUCCAAUUAAA
Molecule: transfer RNA, 68 nt
Filed under: Vespula germanica
Lineage: Eukaryota; Metazoa; Arthropoda; Insecta; Hymenoptera; Vespidae
Description: tRNA-Asn
Source: RNAcentral